RNAcentral lists this long non-coding RNA (475 nucleotides) under Mytilus galloprovincialis (Mediterranean mussel). The record is from RNAcentral. Lineage: Eukaryota; Metazoa; Mollusca; Bivalvia; Mytilida; Mytilidae.
CCUGAAAUUGGGCAAGGUCUAGUACACAUUGGUUAGGUCUAGCAAAGUGAUAUGCAUAUGUGACGCCAUAUUGAGAUUGGCCUUGUAUGUCAUUCAAUCUUUUUGAAAUGACAAACAGUGAUGAAUAUGUGUUAGAGUUGGUAUUUCAAUCUUUUACAAGUUCUCAAAACACACACAAGAGGGGGUUGGGUGACCCUAGGGACUACCCCUAUAUUUCAUUUAAUUUUUUAUCUUGUCCCAUACAUGAAUAUAUAUGGUUUGGGGUGGGGAUCUCAACCGUUAUCAAGUUUUCAAACAGGAAUGAGUGGGGUGAUCCUAGUGACUUCCCCUAUAUUUCAUUUGAUUUGUUAUAUUGUCCAAUGCAUGAAUAUAUAUGGUUGAGGGGUGAGGAUCUUAUCUGUUUCUAAGUUAUCAAACAGGAGAGGUUAGGGUUACCCUAAGGACUCUCCCUAUAUUUCAUUUUGAUUAGUUCUCA